RNAcentral lists this ribosomal RNA (366 nucleotides) under uncultured Mariprofundus sp. Its description in RNAcentral is "bacterial SSU rRNA". It matches the Rfam family "Bacterial small subunit ribosomal RNA", at positions 114 to 476 of the family's 1533-position model. The record is from RNAcentral. Lineage: Bacteria; Pseudomonadati; Pseudomonadota; Candidatius Mariprofundia; Mariprofundales; Mariprofundaceae.
CGCGUGGAUAUCUGCCUAUCGGCGGGGGACAACUACGGGAAACCGUAGCUAAUACCGCAUACGACCUACGGGUGAAAGUGGGGGACCUUCGGGCCUCACACCGAUAGAUGAGUCCGCGUCUGAUUAGCUAGUUGGUAGGGUAAAAGCCUACCAAGGCGAUGAUCAGUAGCUGGUUUGAGAGGAUGAUCAGCCACACUGGAACUGAGACACGGUCCAGACUCCUACGGGAGGCAGCAGUGGGGAAUUUUGCACAAUGGGGGAAACCCUGAUGCAGCGACGCCGCGUGCGGGAAGAAGGCCUUAGGGUUGUAAACCGCUUUCAGCAGGGAAGAAGAGAUGAGUGUUAAUAGCAUUCUGAUUUGACGGU